RNAcentral lists this long non-coding RNA (724 nucleotides) under Anas platyrhynchos platyrhynchos (common mallard). Its description in RNAcentral is "lncRNA (ENSAPLG00000020031.1)". Lineage: Eukaryota; Metazoa; Chordata; Aves; Anseriformes; Anatidae. The record is from RNAcentral.
AUAUUCCAGAACUGCUUUCAUCAUAUAGAAAAAAACAUGCAGGGUGGGGUUCAGGGGCCUAAAAUGUGCAUUUAGCAAAAUCUUUGCAAACCAGUGGCAGCAUAUACAACACGGGAUGUGUUGAUUUAGAUCUGAGUUGAGAAGGGACAGCAGGAGGCUAUCCAGAGUGCAAGGAGACUUCUAAGUGUUUCUUCUACUUGUGGAUUUGAAGCCUCCAGACAAUUUACUGAACCAGGAGGCAGUUGUCCCCACCUCAGGAUGGAAGUGCUCCAGCAGAGUCACUGCAGACAAGCACGGCUGCCGGGAAAUAUCUGUCACUGGGAUUGGACCACCCUUAUCUAAAGCUGCUGAUCCAUCUCACUGCCACUUUCAUUCUGCAUCUGAGAAGCCCUUGGGAAAGCAAACUCUUUGGGAAGAGAGCAGACACCUUGUAACAUCUGAUUUCUGCCAAUGUGAACUCUGAGAUAAAGACAGAGGUUUAAAUAUAAGAAUAUGUUCUUCCCAAAUACACUUUUUGUUCAUUUCAUUGCUGCAAAUGCAGACAACAAUAUGUGCUGGCAAAUACAUCUCCUCACAGCACUGGGAAGCAGCUGCAGGAGGACUUCUGCUAAAGUUGACAUGACUGUUGUGACAAGAAAUCUGGGUUUUGUAGCUUAUUCAAGCAAGAAUCCUCAAAAAUACCACAACCCAGUUUACCUACUAGAGCCAAAUUUAAGUGUUCCAG